This 1840-nucleotide long non-coding RNA is filed under the name Solanum lycopersicum (tomato). RNAcentral describes it as "long non-coding RNA (SLYC_LNC001062)". Lineage: Eukaryota; Viridiplantae; Streptophyta; Magnoliopsida; Solanales; Solanaceae. The record is from RNAcentral.
AAUAGUAAAGAAUGUUGAUUUAUGGUUCAUAAGUCUGAACUAUCGGACAAUUGUUUUAUCGAAAAAAGUAUUUUUAUAUAAGUUUUCAUUUUUUUUAAAGUCGCUACUUAAUUUAUAAGAAAAAAAUCAAGAAAACUCAAGUUUUCAAAAGUCUUAACAGAAAAAUCAUUUGAAAACAUUCAGUGACGUUCGAGAAUUCACAUUUAUAUUUUAGGAAGGUGUUAUCCGUUAAUACGGUUUUCCACCAACUAACUUAUUUGAAAAAAAAAAUUCUAACUUAAAUUAUGAGAUGAAAAUUAUUUGAAAUUGUUUGAUAAGGAAAUGUUAAUUUACUAUCUUAGUGAAAAUGGCUCGUAAUGUUUUAUUAUUUUUGAGUUCAAUUGAAAUCGAUUGAUUUAGUUUGAACAGUUAAAUAUGACAACAUCUUGAGGGGAUUGAAGUUUUCGACUCUAAAACUAACAAAAAUAACCACAAGCAAAUAGUGAUAAAGAGAGAGAGAGUCGGUCUAAAUUCGGAUUCCGUCCGCCUGGACCUGUAUUUGAACCCAUUUUGUUUUUGGAUCUUAGACCCAAUUGGUUUGUACCUGUACUAAGCUAAUCAACAUAAUAAUUAUUUCUUUGAGACUAAGACCCAAAAUUUUCACUUGUCCUAGAUCUAGCAAAAUAAUAAUAAGGGAAGUUUACAAGAUUUAGGCAUAUAAAUAACAAAAUACAAAUUCUUAAGAAAUAUGCAUUUGAGCAUUUUAGCCCAAUCUCUUCGACUCUCUUCAAUUCGCUUCGAAUCCUUCAACUUCGAAACCUGUACGUCAAUUUCGAGACUCGACUCGAGGAACAUGAGGUUCUGGGGCCUUCAUGGCCCUUUGGAAAUGCGGAGGUAGAGUCCAUGGGGACUCAAAAGGAAUCAACAUGCAAACAAAGUAAACAAAAUGAGUUGAUACAUAAAUCAACUCAAGAUAACAAUAGAAAAAUACAAUGUAUUUUUUAGCUUUCUUUGCUUAAGAUGUUCUAUGUAUUUCGCUCAAAAUAAACUUCCUCCAAAAUCUCCAACCCAAAAUUUCCAGCAAACCUUUUUUCUCCCAAAUCUUUUUUCUUUUUUUUCUACUGCUUUUCCGCCUAAAAAAAAAUAAAUUCAACUAAAGCUUUCAACAAAAAUUUUCAACUCCAGAACUUUUGCCUUUUUCCUCAAAAAAAAAAAUCCCUUAAAAAAGAAGAAGAGGGGCUUAAAUAGAGGAAAUUCGGGUUCGGUUUUAGGGGAAAUCGGCUUACAGUUUUGGAGAUACCAAACUCGAAAUUCAAAAUCCCUUUUUUAAGGAUAAGGUUGAGAAGUUGCAAUUUGUACUACUUACCACGGAUGGAUGAAGAGAGUUGUUCGAGUUCUCAAGAAGGACGAUCGAUCAUCGAGAUUUUGACAUCUGGCCGUGUCCUGUGCUGUUCUCGUACGAUAAGAGAGAUGAGAGGGACGCGUGAGCUGGACUCAGGUCGCGAUUUUGGUUCGCUGGGCUGGGCGAAUUCCUGGGUUUCCCGUUUCUUCGCUGGACUGCUCGAGGAAGAAGAGGAAGAAUGCUUGGGGUCGGUUUACUGGGACUAAUAUUGUUUUGUUGGAUGAGUUUUCGUAUUGGGAAUGGUCUUGGUUUAAUGAAAUUGUAAUUAAGAAAUGGAAAAUUGUAUAUAAUAGCAAAUUAAUAAUUUAAAAUGAAUGGAAUAACUACGGUUUGAUUUAAUUGUAUUUAAUUUUUUUCUUUUUCGUUUUAUACAAUUCGAUUCAAUUGUAUAAUCCUUGUCAAGUCUCUUUUGUCUUUCUCUCUUUCUCAUUUUAUACAAAUUCAAAUCGUAUAUAAUCG